ACAAAUACAUGUAUGAUAAAGGAAAGGCUGGAAAAUAAUGUAAAAUGUUGUCAUGCUGAAAAAUGUAAUUAAAUUUGUGAAGAAAACUUUAAAUCAGAUGUAAAAAUAUUUAUGAGAGGGACUUUGAGUUACACUUGAAAACACUGUCAGUGAGGUUUUUUGGGUUUUUUUGGCAGUGGGGUUCCUCUGAUUCGCAGGAUUUACAGUGAAACAAACACACACACACACACACACAUUGUUUAAUGGUCAACAAAGACAACAAAAAGUUAAAAAAAAAAAAUCAAAGAGCGCACGCUCAAGAAAUGAAUGCUUUUCCUCAAAAGCUACUCUCAAAUAAAGUGAAAACGCACAGAAGCAAAAUGUGUCAAUUUUAAAUUAUAAUUCACACAAACCGCAACAAUCACUUCAAAUACAUUAUUGCUGCUUUUUAACAAAUAAAAUAAAUGACUGCACUGAAUUUUCUGAGGAACGUUCAUAUGAUCUCUGUGUGUGUGUGUGUGUGUGCGUGUGUGUGUGUGUGUGUGUGUGUGUGUGUGUGUGUGUGUGUGUGCGUGUGUGUGUGUGUGUGUGUUUGAACGUCCUGAACUCCACAUGCUGCUUUUAUGAUUUCCAUAUUUCAUACAAUUACAGGUCAACAUAUUUUUUGUUGUUGUGUCUCUUUAUUUUGAUUCUCUUUUCUCUCAUAGUUGAAAAAAAACAACAACUUUUCAUUUUAGUUGAUUUUUCACCACAAAUAUCACUUUGGGUUUAAUUUAGACAUUUAUAAAACUCUAAUUCUCUUCAGUUCUGAUAAUAUAACAUCUGCAGGGCAAAGCGAUGUUCAUUUUUAACAAAAGAAAACAUAUUUUUUAUAUUGUGUUUGCGUGUUUUAUGAGUUUUUCCUGUUUCCUUUGUUCUAAGUCGUCUUUAUCUUUAAAGAGAUUCAUUCAAUUACCCAGAAUUGAUCAUUUCAUUUAUCAGAUGCAACAAUGUUACAUAAACUGAGUUCAUUUCUGUUGUCUGCAGCCUCAACAGUAAACUUCAAAUGUAAACAAGGGUUGAGUUCAUCAGAGAGAAUCAUAUUUUCUUUUAUAAUCAGUCGGUUUUCUCAGACGACGGUUUUCUGUCAGCUUUACGGUUGGCCAUUUUCUGCCAGACUGCAGCGCUUCUUGAAACUCUCUCAGAACCGGGCCGUCCAUGACGGAACCGGACAACGAAACUCGUAAAACAAAAGAUGCUCACCGUCUACAGUCUGCGCCCUCUGCUGCGCUCAGAUUCAAACCCUCUAAACUCAAACCCGAGGACGGCAAAUAAAAAGCCAGGAGGCGCGUGUGAGCCACGUUUUCCUGCCCUCCCGUCAAAAGGUCGUGAACUCCGAAACAGGAAGCGGGACGACGUCUACUGAACUGCUCAACAGGUUGGAGUUAGGGAUCGGGCCUGCGAUGUGUCAGGAAAAGCAAAAUUUCAA
This is a long non-coding RNA of Gambusia affinis (western mosquitofish), 1447 nucleotides long. RefSeq lists it as uncharacterized. Lineage: Eukaryota; Metazoa; Chordata; Actinopteri; Cyprinodontiformes; Poeciliidae. The transcript is spliced from 2 exons. The record is from RefSeq and is a predicted model, not a curated record.